GGAACUGUGCCUGAAGUAAAGGACCACUUUGAUAGAGUGAAUCAUGAGGGUUAGACCCCCUCCAGCUCCU
This 70-nucleotide transfer RNA is filed under the name Epinephelus polyphekadion. RNAcentral describes it as "tRNA-Ile". It matches the Rfam family "tRNA". From Rfam's summary of the family: Transfer RNA (tRNA) molecules are approximately 80 nucleotides in length. Their secondary structure includes four short double-helical elements and three loops (D, anti-codon, and T loops). Further hydrogen bonds mediate the characteristic L-shaped molecular structure. tRNAs have two regions of fundamental functional importance: the anti-codon, which is responsible for specific mRNA codon recognition, and the 3' end, to which the tRNAs corresponding amino acid is attached (by aminoacyl-tRNA synthetases). tRNAs cope with the degeneracy of the genetic code in two manners: having more than one tRNA (with a specific anti-codon) for a particular amino acid; and 'wobble' base-pairing, i.e. permitting non-standard base-pairing at the 3rd anti-codon position. RNAcentral also lists the same sequence under 4 other names. Lineage: Eukaryota; Metazoa; Chordata; Actinopteri; Perciformes; Serranidae. The record is from RNAcentral.